UGGACCUGGGAUGCUCUCCUUUCACUGACACAGAAAGGGAAAGAAACAUGCCUGUGGCCUGUGAAAACCAUUGCAGAACCAGGCAAAGUUACUUUCAGGAUGAGUGAGGUGUUGGAUUGAAAGUACUUCAGGACUGGGGAGAAAUACUGAGUCCAAAAAGAAAGCUCAUCCGGAAAACAGAGCAGACCUCUGAAAUGGACCUCUUGAAGGAUCCCGAGGACGUUUCAGAGAAUGAUUGGUGCUCCAGACUGCCCCUACCCUGCUCAGCAGACCUCAUUUUCACCCUUAUCCUCACCGCUGGUCAUUGUUCCUCAAUACUGUGUCCCACAGAGCACAGAGGUCCCUCUCUGAGGUUGGUUCCAAAAAGAAGAAAACCUUUCAAAGAGACGGUAUGUGACAUUUUAAAGUUAGUCAUCUCAGGUACAGAAACUCACAGGCUACAUGUUGUUCAGUAUUAAUGUAAUUUCAUUGUAAUGCCAUGGUCAGAAUUUCACCUUUAUCAUUUCAAUUCUUAAUUAGACAGAGUUACUGUAAAGAACAGGAGAGAUGGUGUUUAUAACUCCUUUUGAGAAUGAAAUGAAAAAGUCUUAUUUCUAUUUAGAAAUAUUCUUCGUCAUUAUUUUUAUGAUUUCUAUAAGUG
Molecule: long non-coding RNA, 640 nt
Filed under: Mustela putorius furo (domestic ferret)
Lineage: Eukaryota; Metazoa; Chordata; Mammalia; Carnivora; Mustelidae
Description: lncRNA (ENSMPUG00000031155.1)
Source: RNAcentral